CCUACGGGAGGCAGCAGUGGGGGAUAUUGCACAAUGGGGGAAACCCUGAUGCAGCGACGCCGCGUGUGGGAAGACGGUCCUCUGGAUUGUAAACCACUGUCCCCAGGGACGAAGAUGACGGUACCUGGGGAGGAAGCUCCGGCUAACUACGUGCCAGCAGCCGCGGUAAUACGUAGGGAGCGAGCGUUGUCCGGAAUUACUGGGUGUAACGGGAGCGUAGGCGGGACUGCAAGUUGGGUGUCAAAUCUACCGGCUCAACCGGUAGCCGCACUCAAAACUGCAGUGAUUGAGUGAAGUAGAGGCAGGCAGAAGUCCUAGUGUAGCGGUGAAAUGCGUAGAUAUUAGGAGGAACACCAGUGGCGAAGGCGGCCUGCUGGGCUUUUACUGACGCUGAGGCUCGAAAGUGUGGGGAGCAAACAGGAUUAGAUACCCCAGUAGUC
RNAcentral lists this ribosomal RNA (440 nucleotides) under uncultured bacterium. RNAcentral describes it as "partial 16S ribosomal RNA". It matches the Rfam family "Bacterial small subunit ribosomal RNA", at positions 338 to 795 of the family's 1533-position model. The record is from RNAcentral.